GCGGAAAUAGCUCAGUUGAUAGAGCAUUAGCCUUCCAAGCUGAGGGUCGCGGGUUUGAGUCCCGUUUUCCGCUC
This 74-nucleotide transfer RNA is filed under the name bioreactor metagenome. Its description in RNAcentral is "tRNA-Gly". It matches the Rfam family "tRNA". Rfam says of the family: Transfer RNA (tRNA) molecules are approximately 80 nucleotides in length. The record is from RNAcentral.